GAUGAACGCUAGCGGCAGGCUUAAUACAUGCAAGUCGUGGGGCAGUACAGUGUAGCAAUACAUGGGUGGCGACCGGCAAACGGGUGCGGAACACGUACGCAACCUUCCUUCAAGUGGGGGAUAGCCCGGGGAAACCCGGAUUAAUACCGCAUAAUAUAAGGAACGGCAUCGUUUUUUAUUGAAAGAUUUAUUGGAUAGAG
RNAcentral lists this ribosomal RNA (200 nucleotides) under uncultured bacterium. Its description in RNAcentral is "partial 16S ribosomal RNA". It matches the Rfam family "Bacterial small subunit ribosomal RNA", at positions 28 to 223 of the family's 1533-position model. The record is from RNAcentral.